Molecule: ribosomal RNA, 464 nt
Filed under: Vreelandella stevensii
Lineage: Bacteria; Pseudomonadati; Pseudomonadota; Gammaproteobacteria; Oceanospirillales; Halomonadaceae
Description: partial 16S ribosomal RNA
Rfam family: Bacterial small subunit ribosomal RNA
Source: RNAcentral
CCUACGGGCGGCUGCAGUGGGGAAUAUUGGACAAUGGGCGAAAGCCUGAUCCAGCCAUGCCGCGUGUGUGAAGAAGGCCUUCGGGUUGUAAAGCACUUUCAGUGGGGAAGAAAGCCUUGGGGCUAAUACCCUCGAGGAAGGACAUCACCCACAGAAGAAGCACCGGCUAACUCCGUGCCAGCAGCCGCGGUAAUACGGAGGGUGCGAGCGUUAAUCGGAAUUACUGGGCGUAAAGCGCGCGUAGGCGGUCUGAUAAGCCGGUUGUGAAAGCCCCGGGCUCAACCUGGGAACGGCAUCCGGAACUGUCAGGCUAGAGUGCAGGAGAGGAAGGUAGAAUUCCCGGUGUAGCGGUGAAAUGCGUAGAGAUCGGGAGGAAUACCAGUGGCGAAGGCGGCCUUCUGGACUGACACUGACGCUGAGGUGCGAAAGCGUGGGUAGCAAACAGGAUUAGAUACCCAGUAGUC